CCUACGGGUGGCAGCAGUGAGGAAUAUUGGUCAAUGGCCGAGAGGCUGAACCAGCCAAGUCGCGUGAGGGAAGACGGCCCUACGGGUUGUAAACCUCUUUUGUCGGGGAGCAAAGCGAACCACGUGUGGUUCAUUGAGAGUACCCGAAGAAAAAGCAUCGGCUAACUCCGUGCCAGCAGCCGCGGUAAUACGGAGGAUGCGAGCGUUAUCCGGAUUUAGUGGGUUUAAAGGGGGCGCAGGCGGAAUGUCAAGUCAGCGGUAAAAUUUCGGGGCUCAACCCCGUCGUGCCGUUGAAACUGGCGUUCUUGAGUGAGCGAGAAGUAUGCGGAAUGCGUGGUGUAGCGGUGAAAUGCAUAGAUAUCACGCAGAACUCCGAUUGCGAAGGCAGUUCACUGGACUGCAACUGACACUGAGGCUCGAAAGUGUGGGUAUCAAACAGGAUUAGAUACCCCAGUAGUC
This 459-nucleotide ribosomal RNA is filed under the name uncultured bacterium. RNAcentral's name for it is "partial 16S ribosomal RNA". It matches the Rfam family "Bacterial small subunit ribosomal RNA", at positions 338 to 795 of the family's 1533-position model. The record is from RNAcentral.